ACUUAGGUGGCAAGCGUUGUCCGGAUUUAUUGGGCGUAAAGGGAGCGCAGGCGGUGUAUAAAGUCUGAUGUGAAAGUCCACGGCUCAACCGUGGGAUUGCAUUGGAAACUGAUACACUUGAGGAUAGAAGAGGAUAGUGGAAUUCCAUGUGUAGUGGUGAAAUACGUAGAUAUAUGGAGGAACACCAGUGGCGAAGGCGGCUAUCUGGUCUAUCACUGACGCUGAGGCUCGAAAGCAUGGGGAGCAAACAG
Molecule: ribosomal RNA, 251 nt
Filed under: uncultured prokaryote
Description: partial 16S rRNA
Rfam family: Bacterial small subunit ribosomal RNA
Source: RNAcentral